AAUGCAUGGUGAUCAUGGCAAGGAAGGGUUGGUCUGUCUAACAAAAUCUGACCCUUUCUCUUUAGAACGUUUGGUUAGUCCCUAUUGGCCAUUACCUGCUCUGCUAGUAAACCCACCAAAAACUAUUCACAAAUCUACUGGUCAAAACAAACCAAUCCCCUCCCUCCCUCCCUCCUACAAGGCCCAAUUUGCCUGGCUCUUCGUAUAAAGAGAGAGUGACUACUUGUUUUGAAAACAGGACUCUGCUACUUUCUUACAUGAACAUCGCGAGAACUCUCACCCUUUUCUUUCUCCCAAAAAAGAUUUUCAUCAUGACCCCAUAUGAUCAUUCCUCCAUCCUUUACCAAAACGCAUUUUACAAAAAGGUUCAAAUACUUCCUUGGCCUUUUAAAAUGGUCCCUUUUUCGCGGCACAAACCCGGAGGCUUUGAGUUUAUUUUUUUAGAUUAACGUGAGUAUCCAGGUCAGCUUGCGCGUACCUCGAUUAUUUUCAUAGGCUCUGAAAUUAACGAUCAUGUAAGCCUCCAGCAGCCCUGAGAUUUGUGGGAUUCGAACUGAUAACCUCUGGAAAGCAAGCUCAAAGCCUGACAAGUUAAACUACGCACUCAGUUUAUUGCUCAACUAGAAAGUGUGACCGUAUAUAUAUACGUACGGGUGCAAAUUAUUUGACACGUGCAUGCACAAAACGUCAAGCAAUUCAGAAACAAUUAGACUGCGGUACGUAGAAAUUAAGUAGAGGAUCAAGUGAGUCUGCAUGCAUGGGAAGGGCAUCAUCACAUGGAUUUGACUUUUGAAGAUUGCAAAUUAACAUACAUUCUUACACACAGAUAUAUAGCAUCAAUAUCUGAUAGGUGAGCAGAAAGUUUGAUUGCAUGCAUGAAUGUGUAAUGCUAGCUGCGAUAUCAGUGAUCAAUUUGCUCUGAAAUAGAAGCAAUAUGUAUAGCUAGAGAGCCUUCUCCUUAAUUACAUGAGCAAUAAACCUCUGUCGUAAUUAAUGCUAUUUAACAUUACUCUAAACUUAAUCAUUAGGAUUCUGAAUAUCAAGAAUCAUUUCUAGCAGCCUAUCUUCUUUCUAAAGUAUUGCUCUAGUUUUCCAUCAUAUCGACAAUCAUCUUCUUGUAACCCAGAAAAAAAAAAAUCAUUGUUUGUCUUUUUGGGGUCUUCAUGUUCUUAGCAUAUGAUGCCUUCAAUUACAAGAACAUAAAUUUUUGCCCACGUCUUUGUAUUACAUUUCAUCAACCAUUGUAGAUAUAAUACUGAAAUUUAAACCUCAAGAACCAAUUUACAAAGUGUUACAGCUUACUACAACAGUAUUUGUUGGAAAAAAACAGGUGUUCUUCAAAAUUAAGAUACUGUGAGUGACAUGUGACCAUGCAUGCAUAAUAUACAUGGAAAGUGCUCUCCAGUCAUCAAGGUCGUCCCUCGUUCGUGUCUUAUCAUUCAAGAGAAAUUAACUGCUUUUUAAUUACUAUCACUGAGCAUCUGAUAGCAAUCCAUCCACAACAUUUGCUUAUGUUUCUAUUGAAGAACCACCAUAGGAAAAGUUCAAGUGCAUGUGCUAGCUAGGAGGGAGUCAAACAAUAUUAAUAGUAUCUUAGCAACUUGUUUGGAGCUUGCAAAUGUGAACCUGAUCACAAUUUUGAGAGAUUGGGAGUUUCGAGCUUCAAAUACCUAUCCUCCUGUUCAAAUUAAUUAAGCUCCAGCAACAUAAUAAAGCUUUCUUGCAGGUGGUUCGCUUUCGACGAAGAAGGUUUGGAUUGAUCAAAAGAUUGAGGAUUGAUGAGAGGCUUGUGGGUUCUUGGAUCAAUUCCUUGGCUUAUCAACUUCUUACUCAGUGUGUGUGUACCUAUUGCCUAGGAGGCGAUGGAGGCGGAGAAUGAGAUCUUCUUCAUCAGGGGAGAUCUGGCCACGUUUAACAGAAGGGCGGAGGUAGUUCAUCCAGCGGAGACGGCAGCUUUUGCCACAGCGGAGAAGACCAGCUUUCUUGGGUAAAGUUCGCCACCGACCUUCACCUUCUUUCUUGAUAUAGUUAGCUAGAAGUUCAUCUUCUUCAGGUGUCCAUGGUCCUCUCUUUAACCCUACCUUGAUGCAACACGGAGUAGAUUUUGCCGCUGGUCCUCCUCCUGCCGCCGCUGCUUCAGCUGUAGCUGUAGAUGAAGUUGGCUUUCUCAUGUUGAAUAAUACGAUACCUUGAAAGUUCUCUCUGUCGAUUGAAGUAAACUUUAUAUACCUACCUACCUUUUUUUCUCUUUGGUUCUAUAUGGAUAUGAAUCUAGGUAGGAUGCCGUGUGUGUGUAUGUGUUGUGUAGUGAUGUGAUGAGAUUUGAGGGUUGAUUGCUACAAAGGAGGAGAAGCUUGGGGAUAUUGGAGGAUAAGGAAAUGGGAACUCUUGCCUUUUGUUUUGUUUGUGUAAGGUAAAUGCCGGUGAUUUUUAUUAUUAUUAUUAUUAUUAUUAUUUCUUUUUGGAUGAGACAGUGUAUGGUUUGUUGGAUUUAUUUGGGAGAGGGGGGGAAAUGAUUUAUAGUCACUCUCCUUGGGGAGAGUGAAGGUAUUAAUUCAACAAUAAUAUUUUUCACGCUAUUUUACAUGUAUUUUGAUUUUCAAUUAAUAUAUACUUAUAUGUGUGCUUCUUAAUUAA
Long non-coding RNA from Populus trichocarpa (black cottonwood), 2637 nucleotides. RefSeq lists it as uncharacterized. The record is from RefSeq and is a predicted model, not a curated record. The transcript is spliced from 5 exons. Lineage: Eukaryota; Viridiplantae; Streptophyta; Magnoliopsida; Malpighiales; Salicaceae.